Leptonychotes weddellii (Weddell seal) is the source of this 2360-nucleotide non-coding RNA. The record is from RefSeq and is a predicted model, not a curated record. Lineage: Eukaryota; Metazoa; Chordata; Mammalia; Carnivora; Phocidae.
GCCGCAUCACAUGCUUGCCCUGCGCGGCCCAGGAUUACAUCAGAGACCUCAUCCCUGCCUGUGCUCCCCCAGUGAGCCUCCGCACACCUUCAAACAAGGCCUCCGUCUGGCACAAAGACCAAGAAAAGGUUCCGGUCCCUUGAGGUUGGAGAAGAAAGCAACUGCAAAGAAACAAGCUAUUAAUAUUAAUGUUCCAGGAAGAGGAGAAGAGAGAAAGGACACAGUGACCUCAGAGAGCAAGGUGGUGAAGGAACGACAGCAGAUUGGAAUACCUUGGGAGGAUAUGUCAUAGCAGCACAGAUGUCGCAGACUCUGCUGAAGGUAACAAACGUCCUCACAAUGUUAUAGGUAAAACCUCUUUAUGUUGAGUCAACUGUGAUCCUUUUGCACAAGUGAAAGUGGAGGAUCCCCAGAAGUCAAGAAGAUCUCUGAUACAUGAAGAUCAAGCCCAGCAUUAAAUGAAAAGAACUUAGUAAAGGCAGAGAAAAGAAGAAUUACGUGAGAGCUUAGAUUAUAUCGGACUAAAUGUUUCCAUCAUUUCCCCCAUGAUGAGGAACUGUGGGAAUUUUGAUAUAAGGCCAUCCAGUUCAGCCUGCCCUGAGAAUAAAGAAGCUUCCUCGUUUCUCUGAAUCCGUGAGUUCUGCAGAGAUGGCGCCAUGCAAGGUUCUGGGAGACUCUGUCACAGUUGUCCCUUUGCUGGAAUGGUCUGCAAAGACUGGAGGGGGGGGUCCCCUUUCAGUAGUUUUGAGGGAUGUGGAGCGAUAUGCCUGCCCUGCUGGGUUCUUUCUACUGCCGGUGUAGCCAUGGGACCUCAGACAAGUCAACCUCACCGAGCCUGACUUCCCUCUCACCUUGAGGAUACACCUAGUCCCAACCUCACAGGGUUCUGUGAGGGCCACUGCAAGACAAUCCACAUAAAGUGCCAGCAAAGUGCUUCACUUGGUCAGUGCUUAGAAACGUUUGCCGUGCUAAUCUCUCAGAAGGCUUAACUGGAUCAUCAUGGUGGAUGAGACUGAUACAGCAUAUGGGCCUCUAUGUUUUCUAGACCUGAAGGCAGGCGGGCUAAUACAGACCGGAGACUAGAACAGUGGUUUAUGACUUGUUGCAACACUCAGACAACCCUCUAUUUCUUCUAGUAGGUUUUUCUUGUACUAAGUGACAGAGUCCUUGUUUACUCCAUAGUGACACAUGGGGCUUGAAGUGCGAAGACAGGGAUCUGUCAGGCUUACAUAGGGGAAAUGAGAGUAAAAAAUCCUUGUUUGUGUGGGGAGGGAUGUGGAAGACAAAACGGAGAGAGAGAGAAUGACAGAAGUUUACCUGUGUAGGACAUUAUUUUAGAACCAGACUAGGGUAGAAUGUUCUUUAAGAGAAAUAUUAGAUGCUAAGGCAAAACAUAUCGUUUGUGGUCUUACCUGGAAGCCUUUGAUACCAGCCUAGGCAUUUAGAAUUGAUCUUGUAGGUAGUGGAGGACCAUUGAAGGUUCUUAGACUAGUGACAGGUCUCCAGUAUGGGAGACAAUACUGAAUUAGCAAAUUAGUUAGGAAACAGGAUAGUUAUUAUCUAUAACUAAAGCAUUAUUAUGUUCAACUCAAGAAUAAUCCCCUGGCACAGAGCCUCAUGUUCUCAACAUAUGCCUGCUGCAUUUUUUUUGAAUAUAAAAUUGCUGUAGCCCAGAUGUCACGGGGUCUCAUCAGGCCUCUCCAGCUCUUUAAUAUAAAAUGACUUUGCAUUUUAGUUAAACCUGCAGUAAGUGACUCUAAGUCUUUGUCUUGCACAUAUCCAGCCCAAGGGAUGAGAUGAGGUUGGACAUGGUGGCAUCCCUCCACCCUCCUUGCUCCUCCUGCCCCCUGCCCUUAAAUCUGAAACCAGGUCCUGGGUCCUGCUGAUUUUUCUGGUUCUCCUCUGACACUACCUACCACCAAGCCCCAUUUCUCCAAGCUUCCCAAAGUUCCAUGGCAAGUAUGGUGCAAAGCACUGAUGGAGAAUGGAUAAAGCUGGACAAAAUGCCAUGAAGCCAGUACCACGCAAUUCCAUCAGUGGAGGGAGCCACCACUUAUCACAGCCUUCUGCCUUUACAAACUAUCCAUGAGGUCCCCUCCAUGGUGGGCACAGCCUCAUCAUGGGAACUGAAGGCUAAGAGGACAGGAUGGGGGAAAUAAAAUCCAGUUUGUCUUGAAUUUUUGACAUUUUGUUCAUGGCAUCCUAAUUGCCUUUCAUACUUCCUUUGUCUUUUAAGCUUUUUUCCAUCAUUAAAAAAAUGAAUUGUGUCAGUUGCCCUGUGUCAUUUGUAGAGAACUGUGAAAGUUAAUUAAAAACAAAACCAAAGCCACAGAUGUAAUUAUUACAUAAUGAGGUAAGGA